UACGGAGGGUGCGAGCGUUGAUCGGAAUCACUGGGCGUAAAGCGCACGUAGGCGGCUUGGUAAGUCACAUGUGAAAGCCCUCGGCUCAACCGGGGAACUGCGUGUGAUACUGCCUUGCUUGAGUCCUGGAGAGGGUGGCGGAAUUGGUGGUGUAGGGGUAAAAUCCGUAGAGAUCACCAGGAAUACCCAUUGCGAAGGCAGCCCCCUGGGCCUGUACUGACGCUCAUGCACGAAAGCGUGGGGAGCAAAC
Molecule: ribosomal RNA, 250 nt
Filed under: uncultured bacterium
Lineage: Bacteria
Description: partial 16S ribosomal RNA
Rfam family: Bacterial small subunit ribosomal RNA
Source: RNAcentral